UUUGGGUUGACCUAAAAGUUCAUUUGGGUUUUUCUAUAACAUCUUGCAGAAAAACCGGAAUGAACUUUUUGGCCUACCCAA
This is a microRNA precursor of Bison bison bison, 81 nucleotides long. The record is from Ensembl. Lineage: Eukaryota; Metazoa; Chordata; Mammalia; Artiodactyla; Bovidae.